GAUCAUGGCUCAGGAUGAACGCUGGCGGCACGCUUAACACAUGCAAGUCGAGCGGAGAAUAGAGUAAGAAAGGCUUCGGCCCGGACGAUUUUAUUCUUAGCGGCGGACGGGUGAGUAACGCGUGGGUAAUCUACCUUGUACAGGGGGAGUAACGUAUAGAAAUAGUACGCUAAUACCGCAUAAGCCCACCGGGAGUCGCAUGAUUCUGAGGGAAAAGACGCAACGGUACAAGAUGAGCCCGCGUCCCAUUAG
Molecule: ribosomal RNA, 252 nt
Filed under: uncultured bacterium
Lineage: Bacteria
Description: partial 16S ribosomal RNA
Rfam family: Bacterial small subunit ribosomal RNA
Source: RNAcentral